UACGAGGGGGGCGAGCGUUGUUCGGAAUUAUUGGGCGUAAAGGGUGCGUAGGCGGUUUGGUAAGUCUCUUGUGAAAUCUAUGGGCUCAACUCAUAGUCUGCAAGGGAAAUUGCCGGGCUUGAGUGUGGGAGAGGUGAGUGGAAUUUCCGGUGUAGCGGUGAAAUGCGUAGAUAUCAGGAGGAACACCAAUAGCGAAGGCAGCUCGCUGGGACGGUACUGACGCUAAGGCGCGAAAGCGUGGGGAGCGAACAGG
Molecule: ribosomal RNA, 253 nt
Filed under: uncultured bacterium
Lineage: Bacteria
Description: partial 16S ribosomal RNA
Rfam family: Bacterial small subunit ribosomal RNA
Source: RNAcentral